RNAcentral lists this ribosomal RNA (253 nucleotides) under uncultured bacterium. Its description in RNAcentral is "partial 16S ribosomal RNA". It matches the Rfam family "Bacterial small subunit ribosomal RNA", at positions 524 to 776 of the family's 1533-position model. The record is from RNAcentral.
UACGUAGGGGGCAAGCGUUGUCCGGAAUCAUUGGGCGUAAAGAGCGCGCAGGCGGUCGUUCAAGUCGCGUGUGAAAGCCCCCGGCUCAACUGGGGAGGGUCACGCGAUACUGAUCGACUCGAAGGCAGGAGAGGGAAGCGGAAUUCCCGGUGUAGUGGUGAAAUGCGUAGAUAUCGGGAGGAACACCAGUGGCGAAGGCGACUUCCUGGCCUGUUCUUGACGCUGAGGCGCGAAAGCUAGGGGAGCAAACGGG